CCUACGGGCGGCAACAGUGGGGGAUAUUGCGCAAUGGGGGCAACCCUGAUGCAGCAACGCCGCGUGUGGGAAGAAGGCUUUCGGAUUGUAAACCUCUGUUCUCGGUGAAGAUUAUAACGGUAUCCCUGUAGAAUGCUCCGGCUAACUACGUGCCAGCAGCCGCGGUAAUACGUAGGGGGCAAGCGUUGUCCGGAUUUACUGGGUGUGAAGGGUGCGUAGGCGGGCUUGCAAGUCAGAAGUGAAAACCAGCGGCUCAACCUGAGGACUGCGUUUGAAACUGUGGGGCUUGAGUGAAGUAGAGGCAGGCGGAAUUCCCGGUGUAGCGGUGAAAUGCGUAGAGAUCAGGAGGAACACCAGUGGCGAAGGCGGCCUACUGGGCAUUAACUGACGGUGAGGCACGAAAGCAUGGGUAGCAAACAGGAUUAGAUACCCUGGUAGUC
RNAcentral lists this ribosomal RNA (440 nucleotides) under uncultured bacterium. RNAcentral's name for it is "partial 16S ribosomal RNA". It matches the Rfam family "Bacterial small subunit ribosomal RNA", at positions 338 to 795 of the family's 1533-position model. The record is from RNAcentral.